Molecule: ribosomal RNA, 486 nt
Filed under: uncultured bacterium
Lineage: Bacteria
Description: bacterial SSU rRNA
Rfam family: Bacterial small subunit ribosomal RNA
Source: RNAcentral
GAUGAACGCUAGCGACAGGCUUAACACAUGCAAGUCGAGGGGCAGCGAGGGCGUAGCAAUACGCCUGUCGGCGACCGGCGCACUGGUGAGUAACACGUAUGCGACCUGCCCCCUACAGGGGUAUAACCCGUAGAAAUGCGGACUAAUCCCCCAUAGUCCUGGGUGCUGCAUGGCAUUCAGGGGAAAGGGUUUCCGGUAGGGGAUGGGCAUGCGGCGCAUUAGCUAGUUGGCGGGGCAACGGCCCACCAAGGCGACGAUGCGUAGGGGUUCUGAGAGGAAGGUCCCCCACAUUGGAACUGAGACACGGUCCAAACUCCUACGGGAGGCAGCAGUGAGGAAUAUUGGUCAAUGGGCGAGAGCCUGAACCAGCCAAGUAGCGUGCAGGACGACGGCCCUAUGGGUUGUAAACUGCUUUAUAAGGGAAUAAAGUGAGUCUCGUGAGACUUUUUGCAUGUACCUUAUGAAUAAGGACCGGCUAAUUCCGUG